Molecule: non-coding RNA, 406 nt
Organism: Peromyscus maniculatus bairdii (prairie deer mouse)
Lineage: Eukaryota; Metazoa; Chordata; Mammalia; Rodentia; Cricetidae
Source: RefSeq, a predicted model, not a curated record
UCAUUCGAGAGAGCCAUUCUGGGAGUGGGUGAGGCAUUGAGAGGAAGUGUCUAAGAAUGUGUCCCUACUCCCGGCCCGGGGGAAGAGCGGGGCUAUCUGGGUGAUGUCCUUUCAACUGGUCUGGCUCAGGGUCCCCCUCUGGCUGAGGAUGCAGGACACCAGGAAUGAACCCUAGUGAAAACUAUGGACUUCUAGCAACACGAGCCUCACCCAGUGGCCAGGGCCUGCCCAGGAGUUCAGCUCGGCCUUAGAAGCUAGCUGGAACAUUGGACCCACUCCUUCCCAACUCCUUGACGCUCUCACCCCAUUUCCACCCCACCUGCAGGCUUGGAGACCCUGCCUCCGUGAGCCCUAGACACCCCCCCCCAUGCUCCGCCCCAUCUUCCUGAAUCGCUUACCUAUAGAC